Molecule: ribosomal RNA, 1396 nt
Filed under: uncultured Bacteroidota bacterium
Lineage: Bacteria; Pseudomonadati; Bacteroidota
Description: uncultured Bacteroidetes bacterium 16S ribosomal RNA
Rfam family: Bacterial small subunit ribosomal RNA
Source: RNAcentral
CGGCAGGCUUACACAUGCAGUCGAGGGAUCGAGUCGUCAUCCUCGAAAACCGGCAAACGGGUGAGUCACGCGUCCGCAACCUUCCUCAUCCAAGGGGAUCGCUUCGAGAAAUCGAAAUUAAUACCUUAUAGAAUUUAGUACUGGCAUCAGUAUUUUAUUAAAGAUUUAUCGGUAUGAGAUGGGCGUGCGUGACAUUAGCUAGUUGGUAAGGUAACGGCUUACCAAGGCUACGAUGUCUAGGGGUUCUUGAAGGAAAGUCCCCUACACUGGUACUGAGACACGGACCAGACUCCUACGGGAGGCAGCAGUGAGGAAUAUUGGUCAAUGGGCGAGAGCCUGAACCAGCCAUGCCGCGUGCAGGAUGACUGCCUUAUGGGUUGUAAACUGCUUUUGUACGGGAAUAAAGUGAGCUAUGUAUAGUUUUUUGUAGGUACCGUAUGAAUAAGGAUCGGCUAACUCCGUGCCAGCAGCCGCGGUAAUACGGAGGAUCCGAGCGUUAUCCGGAUUUAUUAGGUUUAAAGGGUGCGUAGGCGGGAUUAUAAGUCAGUGGUGAAAGGCGUCGGCUUAACCGAUAGUGUGCCAUUGAUACUGUAGUUCUUGGAUAGAGUUGAGGCUGGCGGAAUGUGUAAUGUAGCGGUGAAAUGCAUAGAUAUUACACAGAACACCAAUUGCGUAGGCAGCUGGCUAAGCUUUUAUUGACGCUGAGGCACGAAAGCGUGGGGAUCAAACAGGAUUAGAUACCCUGGUAGUCCACGCCGUAAACGAUGAUUACUCGUUGUUGGCAAUAUACUGUCAGUGACUGAGCGAAAGCAAUAAGUAAUCCACCUGGGGAGUACGUUCGCAAGAAUGAAACUCAAAGGAAUUGACGGGGGCCCGCACAAGCGGAGGAACAUGUGGUUUAAUUCGAUGAUACGCGAGGAACCUUACCUGGGCUCGAACGUGCAAUGAAUUAGUGUGAAAGCAUUAAGUCGCAAGACAUUGUACGAGGUGCUGCAUGGCUGUCGUCAGCUCGUGCCGUGAGGUGUCGGUUUAAGUACCAUAACGAGCGCAACCCCUAUUGAUAGUUGCCAGCGGGUCAUGCCGGGAACUCUAUCGAGACUGCCACCGUAAGGUGUGAGGAAGGUGGGGAUGACGUCAAGUCAGCACGGCCCUUACGUCCAGGGCUACACACGUGUUACAAUGGUCGAUACAGAGGGCAGCAAUCAGGUGACUGUGAGCUAAUCCUAAAAGUCGAUCUCAGUUCGGAUUGGAGUCUGUGACUCGACUCCAUGAAGUUGGAUUCGCUAGUAAUCGUAGAUCAGCAAUGCUACGGUGAAUACGUUCCCGGGCCUUGUACACACCGCCCGUCAAGCCAUGGAAGCUGGGGGGACCUGAAGUUCGUGACCGCAAGGAGCGA